Molecule: unclassified non-coding RNA, 216 nt
Filed under: Hevea brasiliensis (rubber tree)
Lineage: Eukaryota; Viridiplantae; Streptophyta; Magnoliopsida; Malpighiales; Euphorbiaceae
Source: RNAcentral
UAUCAGAGGCUCCAUGAAGGUGCGGGUGCCCACGGAGCGCCUGGGCACCCGUGAGCGGCUCUACGAGUGGAUCAGCAUUGAUAAGGAUGAGGCAGGAGCAAAGAGCAAAGCCCCCUCUGUGUCCCGAGGGAGCCAGGAGCCCAGGUCAGGGAGCCGCAAGCCAGCCUUCACAGAGGCCUCCUGCCCGCUCUCCAGGUUAUUUGAAGAACCAGAGAA